This 479-nucleotide ribosomal RNA is filed under the name Bacillus pumilus. RNAcentral's name for it is "bacterial SSU rRNA". It matches the Rfam family "Bacterial small subunit ribosomal RNA", at positions 940 to 1398 of the family's 1533-position model. The record is from RNAcentral. Lineage: Bacteria; Bacillati; Bacillota; Bacilli; Caryophanales; Bacillaceae.
UAGGGCUUCCUGUCAGCGCACCAAGCAUUGUUGUUAGCGCACGGGAAGAACCUUACCAGGUCUUGACAUCCUCUGACAACCCUAGAGAUAGGGCUUUCCCUUCGGGGACAGAGUGACAGGUGGUGCAUGGUUGUCGUCAGCUCGUGUCGUGAGAUGUUGGGUUAAGUCCCGCAACGAGCGCAACCCUUGAUCUUAGUUGCCAGCAUUCAGUUGGGCACUCUAAGGUGACUGCCGGUGACAAACCGGAGGAAGGUGGGGAUGACGUCAAAUCAUCAUGCCCCUUAUGACCUGGGCUACACACGUGCUACAAUGGACAGAACAAAGGGCUGCGAGACCGCAAGGUUUAGCCAAUCCCACAAAUCUGUUCUCAGUUCGGAUCGCAGUCUGCAACUCGACUGCGUGAAGCUGGAAUCGCUAGUAAUCGCGGAUCAGCAUGCCGCGGUGAAUACGUUCCCGGGCCUUGUACCCCCCCGCCCGUA